This 494-nucleotide ribosomal RNA is filed under the name uncultured bacterium. Its description in RNAcentral is "partial 16S ribosomal RNA". It matches the Rfam family "Bacterial small subunit ribosomal RNA", at positions 28 to 507 of the family's 1533-position model. The record is from RNAcentral.
GACGAACGCUGGCGGCGUGCCUAAUACAUGCAAGUCGAACGGUUUAGUUCCAAGAGGCACGUCUCUUGGAACUAAGCAGUGGCGCACGGGUGAGUAACACGUAAGCCACCUACCUGUCAAACCGGGAUAACCUCGGGAAACCGAUGCUAACCCCGGCUAAGCUCCUUUUUCGCCUGAAGGUGUAGUGACCAGGUGCGACCUGAUGACAGAUGGUCCUGCGGCACAUUUGCUGGUAGGUAGGGUAACGGCCUACCUAGGCGAUGGUGCGUGGCCGACAGGAGAGGGCGUACGGCUACAAGGGGAAUGAGAUACGGCCCAGAAUGCGACGGGAGGGAGCAGUAGGGAAGACUAGGCAAGGGGGGAAAGUCUGACCGAGCAACGCCGGGUGAGUGAGGAAGGCGGUUGGGGUGUAAAACUGUGGUGUUUGGGAAGAAGGGAGAGGGUAGGACCCUUUGGUGACGGUACCAAAAGAGAAAGCGCCGGCUAACUACGUG